AUUGAACGCUGGCGGCAGGCCUAACACAUGCAAGUCGAACGAGUGGCGGACGGGUGAGUAAUGUCUGGGAAACUGCCUGAUGGAGGGGGAUAACUACUGGAAACGGUAGCUAAUACCGCAUACCAUCGGAUGUGCCCAGAGGGGAUUAGCUAGUAGGUGGGGUAAAGGCUCACCUAGGCGACGAUACCUAGCAGGUUUGAGAGGAGGACCAGCCACUGUGGAUCUGAGACACGGUCCGUAAUCCGACGUGAGCACGACGUGGGGAGUAUUGCACAAUUGGCGCAAGCCUGAUGCAGCCCUGCCGGGUUUAUGAGGACGGCCUUCGGUUUGUAAAGUACUUUCAGCGGGGAGACGUUACCCGCAGAAGAAGCACCGGCUAACUCCGUGCCAGCAGCCGCGGUAAUAC
RNAcentral lists this ribosomal RNA (406 nucleotides) under uncultured bacterium. RNAcentral's name for it is "partial 16S ribosomal RNA". It matches the Rfam family "Bacterial small subunit ribosomal RNA", at positions 30 to 526 of the family's 1533-position model. The record is from RNAcentral.